CGGUGGCUCAGUCUGGUAGAGCGCUAGACUUGUAAUCUAGUGGUCGCGGGUUCAAUUCCCGCCCG
Molecule: transfer RNA, 65 nt
Filed under: bovine gut metagenome
Rfam family: tRNA
About the family: Transfer RNA (tRNA) molecules are approximately 80 nucleotides in length. Their secondary structure includes four short double-helical elements and three loops (D, anti-codon, and T loops).
Source: RNAcentral